This 301-nucleotide ribosomal RNA is filed under the name uncultured bacterium. RNAcentral describes it as "partial 16S ribosomal RNA". It matches the Rfam family "Bacterial small subunit ribosomal RNA", at positions 509 to 809 of the family's 1533-position model. The record is from RNAcentral.
CAGUAGCCGCGGGAAAACGUAGGGUGCAAGCGUUAAUCGGAAUUACUGGGCGUAAAGCGUGCGCAGGCGGUUUGUUAAGACAGAUGUGAAAUCCCCGGGCUCAACCUGGGAACUGCAUUUGUGACUGGCAAGCUAGAGUAUGGCAGAGGGGGGUGGAAUUCCGCGUGUAGCAGUGAAAUGCGUAGAUAUGCGGAGGAACACCGAUGGCGAAGGCAGCCCCCUGGGCCAAUACUGACGCUCAUGCACGUAAGCGUGGGGAGCAAACAGGAUUAGAUACCCCGGUAGUCCCUGUCUCUUAUAA